AAGGUUAGUGGCGGACGGGUGAGUAACGCGUGGGCAACCUGCCCUGUACUGGGGGAUAGCAGCUGGAAACGGCUGGUAAUACCGCAUAAGCGCACAGUACCGCAUGGUACAGUGUGAAAAGCUCCGACGGUACAGGAUGGGCCCGCGUCCGAUUAGCCAGUUGGCGGGGUAACGGCCCACCAAAGCGACGAUCGGUAGCCGGCCUGAGAGGGCGGACGGCCACAUUGGGACUGAGACACGGCCCAGACUCCUACGGGAGGCAGCAGUGGGGGAUAUUGCACAAUGGGGGAAACCCUGAUGCAGCGACGCCGCGUGGGUGAAGAAGUAUUUCGGUAUGUAAAGCCCUAUCAGCAGGGACGAUAAUGACGGUACCUGAGUAAGAAGCCCCGGCUAACUACGUGCCAGCAGCCGCGGUAAUACGUAGGGGGCAAGCGUUAUCCGGAUUUACUGGGUGUAAAGGGGGCGCAGACGGAAAUGCAAGCCAGAUGUGAAAGCCCCGGGCUCAGCCCGGGGAGUGCAUUUGGAACUGUGUAUCUAGAGUACUGGAGAGGUAAGCGGAAUUCCUGGUGUAGCGGUGAAAUGCGUAGAUAUCAGGAAGAACACCGGUGGCGAAGGCGGCUUACUGGACAGAGACUGACGUUGA
This 643-nucleotide ribosomal RNA is filed under the name uncultured rumen bacterium. Its description in RNAcentral is "bacterial SSU rRNA". It matches the Rfam family "Bacterial small subunit ribosomal RNA", at positions 88 to 749 of the family's 1533-position model. The record is from RNAcentral.